AAAAAAAUCAAUUAAAAGUGAGUUUCAUCAUCAAGACAAUAGAACACAGUAGUGGAUCUGUAUUGGAAGAGACUAUAUAGGUGACUGCUCUGAAUUAAGCUAAAGAAUCACUAGGUAUACCUAGUACUUUUUAAAGCACAUUUUGUAAAAAUAUAUUUUUUUCCUUUAGAAUUAGAAAUUAAGGGACAGCAUCUGCUGAAUAAACUCUUCUCCUUCCAUACCUUAGUGCUGUCAAAAUGUUGGAAAUGAAACAACAUAGUGUGGAAGUACCUGGAUUUUGUGUAAAUAGUAACUGUAUGCUUAAACAGUUGAGGUUAGGAAGAGAGUUGUAAUUAAUAUCUUUAUGCUUAUGGAUUUCACUUUUAAUUAUUUUUUAGGGUUCUGUUUAGUUGGAUUUUUUUUCCUCAUAGAAGGCGUCUUUAAGAAAAAAUCUCAGAUGUUCGUUUCUGCAAGAUGUCCCACUGAGACCUCUGGAAAAAGCAAGAGGAAAAAAAGGAGAGUAUUUCUUUCAGCCUAUCAUGGAGUUCAGAGAGAUCACUUGUAAUGUCGCCCAAUAAACAAUAAUUGCACGGAGAGCUAGCCA
RNAcentral lists this long non-coding RNA (583 nucleotides) under Coturnix japonica (Japanese quail). RNAcentral's name for it is "lncRNA (ENSCJPG00005000784.1)". Lineage: Eukaryota; Metazoa; Chordata; Aves; Galliformes; Phasianidae. The record is from RNAcentral.